GAUGAACGCUGGCGGCGUGCCUAAUACAUGCAAGUCGAGCGAACAGAUGAGGAGCUUGCUCCUCUGAAGUUAGCAGCGGACGGGUAAGUAACACGUGAACAACCCAUAUAUCAGACUGGAAUAACUUAGGGUAACCGGAGCAAAUACCGGAUAAUAUAUCGAACCGCAUGGUUCAAUAGUGAAAGACGGUUUUGCUGUCACCUAUAGACGGAUCCGCGCCGUAUUAGCUAGAUGGUAAGGUAACGGCUUACCAAGGCAACGAUGCGUAGCCGACCCGAGAGAGUGGUCGGCGACACGGGAACGUAGACACGGACCAGACUCCUACGGGAGGCAGCAGUAGGGAAUCUUCCGCAAUGGGCGAAAGCCUUGCGGAGCAGCGCCACGUGAGUUAUAGCGGUCUUCGGUGCGUAAAACCGUGUUAUGAGGGAAAAACAAAUGUGUAAGUAACUAUGCACAUCUUGACGGUACCUAAACAGAAAGCCACGGCUAACUACGUG
RNAcentral lists this ribosomal RNA (497 nucleotides) under uncultured bacterium. Its description in RNAcentral is "partial 16S ribosomal RNA". It matches the Rfam family "Bacterial small subunit ribosomal RNA", at positions 28 to 507 of the family's 1533-position model. The record is from RNAcentral.